CCCUUAGAUGUCCUGGGCUGCACGCGCGCUACACUGAUGUGUCCAGUAAGCACCUAACCUCUUCCGAAAGGAACGGGUAACCUUUGCAAAGCACAUCGUGAUGGGGAUAGAUUGUUGCAAUUAUUAGUCUUGAACGAGGAAUUCCUAGUAAGCACAAGUCAUCAGCUUGUGUUGAUUACGUCCCUGCCCUUUGUACACACCGCCCGUCGCUCCUACCGAUUGAAUGUUCCGGUGAGCUCUUCGGACUGCGCGGUCUGCAGUUUCUGCGUUCCGUGCGGAAAGUUGCGCAAACCUUAACAUUUAGAGGAAGGAGAAGUCGUAACA
This 324-nucleotide ribosomal RNA is filed under the name uncultured eukaryote. RNAcentral describes it as "partial 18S ribosomal RNA". It matches the Rfam family "Eukaryotic small subunit ribosomal RNA", at positions 1470 to 1796 of the family's 1831-position model. The record is from RNAcentral.